GACGUAGGUGGCGAACGUUAUCCGGAAUUAUUGGGCGUAAAGGGUGCGUAGAUGGCCUGAUAAGUUAACAGUGGUAAAUCGAGGCUCAACCUCGUGGAAACUGAUAAUACUGUCUGGCUCGAGUACAGAAGAGGUUAACGGAAUUCCAUGUGGAGCGGUAAAAUGCAUAGAUAUAUGGAAGAACACCAAUAACGGCGAAGGCAGUUAACUAUUCUGUUACUGACAUUGAGGCACGAAAGCCAGGGGGAGCAAAACGGG
This 258-nucleotide ribosomal RNA is filed under the name uncultured bacterium. RNAcentral describes it as "partial 16S ribosomal RNA". It matches the Rfam family "Bacterial small subunit ribosomal RNA", at positions 524 to 777 of the family's 1533-position model. The record is from RNAcentral.